Molecule: long non-coding RNA, 282 nt
Organism: Mauremys reevesii (Reeves's turtle)
Lineage: Eukaryota; Metazoa; Chordata; Testudines; Geoemydidae
Exons: 3
Source: RefSeq, a predicted model, not a curated record
UUUGUGUCUGUGUCUCCCAGAGUCAACAAGAAACCAAGGGCAGGGAAAGUACAUCUCCCUAAGCCAUAUCUGAACUAAGCGUCUAAGUAUUGCAGAAAUAAAGUGGAACUUAAGUGUGCCUUGUUCAGAGGGCCAAAGCAUCACUACACUGGACCUGUGAGAAGUGGCAUCCGACCAGUAGAUACCUUGUGACAGGGGAGGAAAAAUAUGUUUGAGAGCCCCUUGCAGCUAUCAGAUGGUUGAGACAGCUUAUUUGAUGUUGAAUGUCAAUCAGUAUUACAG